GCCCCGCGCCGCCGCCUCAGGGCCGCCCCGGGCCCGGGCCCGCCCCUCAGCACUUGGCGGCAUCGAGUCCGGCGCUGACCGAAAGUUAAGUGUUGUCCCGUGCCCGCUGAACGACGUUAUGCUUGCAGAUCCACGAAGCUGCCUUGAAGAAAGAAGAGCAGGCUGGCCAGUCACUGCAAAAUCAGUUCAGGCUGUUGUACGUAAAGAGAGGGAAAUGUAGUUCAUGUGGCUGCUGAGUGAAAUGUCAUAUACAAGUUCCUGGAAAUGUAGCAUUUAAUGGAAAAAAAUGUCCUGGGAAUAUCAAGCUAAGAGCUACCAUGGUACUGAAUGAGCAGAGGCUGGAGGAGAGCAGAACAUCUGAAUAUGAUUUCAGAUUGUGGUUGGUAUGAGAUGUGCCUUUCCUUUGUUUGCCUUUUAAGGGGAUCACUGUGUGCUGUGAUAAACUGUCCAUGUUUGGUGGUUGGCCGUCUCACCUCUUCCCUCCCCAGGAUGCUUGUGAGGUGCUGGCUUGUGUGUCCUCCACUGCGUCUGCCUUGCCAACAGAUACCAGCUACACAGAGAGGCUCCAGUGAUGCCUUGUUACGUUCUCUUCUGCAUGCCACUCUUCAUGCUCAGUUGUCCUCCUGCUGCUCCCAGAGCCCAAGUUCAACAAUGCCCACAACCUUCACGGAUGGAGCAGGGCAGCCUUGGAUUUCUACCUCCUAUUUGGUCUCCUGGAUGCUCACCAGCGCCAAUAAACCUUCAGAACGUGUCUU
Molecule: long non-coding RNA, 755 nt
Organism: Numida meleagris (helmeted guineafowl)
Lineage: Eukaryota; Metazoa; Chordata; Aves; Galliformes; Numididae
Exons: 3
Source: RefSeq, a predicted model, not a curated record